This 540-nucleotide long non-coding RNA is filed under the name Ursus maritimus (polar bear). Its description in RNAcentral is "lncRNA (ENSUMAG00000023781.1)". The record is from RNAcentral. Lineage: Eukaryota; Metazoa; Chordata; Mammalia; Carnivora; Ursidae.
UGCCCCAGCAGUGCGGCUCCCGUCUCCGCCCUUGGCACCGCAUUGCUUCCACUGUCUUGCCCUCAACUGUACUUUAGGCGGACGUGGAAAGGGAGACUCAUAGUUGGGCUUUUACUUUGGGUUCUGUGGCCCAGAAACACAGAGGGUUAAGGGACGGGGGUAGAGGCAGAACGAGAAAUUCGGUGCCCUUUCCGGAAGCUGCCCCGCCCCCUGGGUGAGUGUCAGUCGCCACGCACUACAAUUCCCAGCAUGCUAUUCGAGCAAGCCCGGAGGCGGAACCGGAGUGUCGCCAUAGCAACUGAAUCAACUACCUUGCCGGGACUUCUCAAGGCUAAGAAGCAGUCUCAAGGGAUGAGGAUGAAUGCACAAGGAACAACGCUUAGCCACAAAAGACUGUUGAAGCAGGCCACCCAAGCGGCCAGAAGACUUGGCCGACUUCCAAGGUGGGGCUGGGAGACCCUCAGAGGCCCCGGGGCGUUUCCAGAGCGGCGGGGCGCGCUCGACUCACGGCCGCCGCGGGCAGGAGCGCAGGUGAGCAGC